CACGUAGGGUGCGAGCGUUGUCCGGAAUUAUUGGGCGUAAAGAGCUCGUAGGCGGUGUGUCGCGUCGGCCGUGAAAACCUGCAGCUUAACUGUGGGCUUGCGGUCGAUACGGGCAUCACUGGAGUUCGGCAGGGGAGACUGGAAUUCCUGGUGUAGCGGUGAAAUGCGCAGAUAUCAGGAGGAACACCGGUGGCGAAGGCGGCUCACUGGACCGGUACUGACGCUGAGGCGCGAAAGCGUGGGGAGCAAACAGG
Molecule: ribosomal RNA, 254 nt
Filed under: uncultured bacterium
Lineage: Bacteria
Description: partial 16S ribosomal RNA
Rfam family: Bacterial small subunit ribosomal RNA
Source: RNAcentral